AAAUUAUUUUCAAAGCAUAAAUUACUUGCUAUUCACUAUUUAAAAUCUAAAUAUAAAUUAAAUUUUUUUUAAGCAAUCCGAAAUGGACUUAGCAUACUUUAAGUCCCGACUAGGUAAAUCAGACUAGGAUCUAAAAUCAGGUAGAAAGGGAAUGGUUUCAUCAAGGAUGGAACCUUCCUUUCGAUUUUUCUUUUAUUUAUAUAUUUAUUUAUUUAAUUAAUUUUUUUUUCUUCUUCUUCAAAAGGGGAAAAAGGGGAGAGGGGAGGAAAGGGGCCUUCGGGCGGCUGCAGUGAAGGACCGCGUCGCACGGGGGAACGACCACCAGACAAGCGGUCUUCCACUUUUUUUUUUUUAUUUUUUUCCUUUUUUCUUCGUUUUCUCCUCUCUCUUUUUUUCCUUCUCUUUUUCUCUUUCUUUUGUUCUUUCUCUUUUUUUUUUUUUUUUCUUUCUUCUUCAUCGCUGUCCCCUCAUCUUCCAGGAGGGGGAAAGGGCGAGAGCCCGUCACACCGAAAAGUAGGGGAGGGGAAGAAAGGCCUCCGGCCCGACGGUGGCUCCUGCCGAGGACCGCCGGCCGAGGAACGACAAAGUUCCGGCCAUCGCCAGGUCGAUCGGGAGGAGAGGAAGACAGGGGAGGAGACGGGGACUUACCUCGGCUCCGAGGAGGCGCUGCGGCCACGAUUCCGGCGGCUCGAAGACAGGGCACCGUGAGCCCGAGCAGAGGAAGAAAGAAGGGAAGGGAGAGGAGAAAGGAGAGAGAUGGAGGAGGAAGAAGGGCUCGGUGAGCCCAAGCAGACAAGGAAGGAAAGAAAUAGAGGGAGGAGACUGCGAAUUCCGCGAUCUCCUCAUGCUAUCCUUCCAAAAUCGGAGCACAGCAAGGAGAUUUGCCGGAAAGGAAAGAAGAGGGGCGGGGCUCCGGCGAUGUCGCGCGGCCCUGUCCUCCCUUGCGGCGAGGAUCGUGGCUAGCUCCACUGAACUGGCCCACGCGCAAACAUAGGGUGUCACAUUCUUUCUUUUUUCUCCUUUUUUUUUUUUUUUUUUUUUUUUUUUUUUUUUUUUUUUUUUUUUUUUUUUGCUAAUACGGGUGGAUCAUACCUGACGGGUACGGAUACACCCAAUAAAGUCAAAAAUAGGAUACCUCGGAGUGCCAAAGGCACCUCCCCAUCUCCAGACCACAAGGUAUCUCCGGAAUGGCGAGCUACAUGCGCAGCCACCCAAUCCGCAGCACCAUUUGCUUCACGGUAGAUAUGCUUAGCCUGAAAGGCCCAUCCAUCCCUCGCCAUAGUCCAUAUGUCACGAAGCAAUGGGUGGUCACAGACGUCACCCCUAGGACCCUCUCGGAUCCAACUGAUAACGGUGGCUGAAUCACCCUCUAGGAUGAUAGACCUAGCCUGUAACACGCACCGGGCAUGUCGAAGGCCAGCCCAGGCAGCUCUCAGCUCCGCCCUUGGAAUCGAGGUGUCAAAUAAAUGACUACCACCUACGGCCACAACCCUCCUUAAAGAAGGAGGCUAUUGGUGAUGAUGUCAUGGUAGGAGGUGUUUUGGGAGAUUGGACGCACUGAUUGGAGGGCUGGAAGGGGGUGGAUUGGGUCACAUUGCAUAGCUCAUAUGGGACUAAACGCAUUCUCGCAUGGCUCUUUUUUUUCCUAUAAAAUUCGGGUUGUAGAGGUGCUAUGUUGGUAUGGCUAUAUUUAAAUGGAAUGCCCAAUGCGCAAAUCCAGCAGAAAUUUAAACCCAAUCUUGCCGGAUUACUCAGACAAGUUUUUACUGAUAAGGGAGGCACAAAACCACCUAGCUUCUAUUAAAUGAAUAGAAAUAGACGCCAAAAAAAAAGGGACGGAGAGGACGGUGCAAGUGAGCAGCUCUUCAUGAGAACUGCUCAGAUACAAGACACCUGCAAUGCAGAAAGUAAACAAAUUGAUGAAAACAUUGCAGGUCUGAGAGUGCACAGAGUUAUAAAGUUACCCAAGACCCCAACAACAGAGCUCUUUAAAACAGUACAUUAGUCUUCUAACGAUCCAUUAGUUUCUUCUCCUGAGUGUUCGAGAGAAUGCUUAAAACUUGGUUAUAAGUCAGAAAAGCAGGCUUGAAAUAAUGAGCUGGCCUUGGAAAGGCAAUGAUCAAGAUUGAAUUCCCCCAAAUUAAACAUCCACAAGGUUCUGUUUAUUUCCUUGAUGUUAGCCCAAGAGUUGGAAAUCACAGUGCACAGAGUAGAUCCAGCUAUAGGGGGAGAAGAUGUUUGAGGCGAAUUGCACCUUUAGGUCCAUAGUAUGUGACGUAUUGCCCAUGGGUGCCCCCAUGAUUGUUACCCUUAUGAUAGAUUAAUAUUCCUUUCCUUGUAAUUUUUUUUCUUUUUUGUGAUCAGUUUUUUUUUUUUUUCGUAGUACUUCAGCUUUGCAGCUAAGACAUUGUCAUUAUAUAUUAAGUUUUUUUUUUAAGAGAUCAAACAACAUUUGUGGUCC
This is a non-coding RNA of Phoenix dactylifera (date palm), 2461 nucleotides long. Lineage: Eukaryota; Viridiplantae; Streptophyta; Magnoliopsida; Arecales; Arecaceae. The record is from RefSeq and is a predicted model, not a curated record.